UCGGAGUACUCUCGCUUUGACCCAUAUCCUACAUACAUGCCAUAUAUGCCAUAUCCUCACUAUUACCCAUCAUAUCCACCAUAUCCUAUGUAUCCACCCUCCCCUAUUCAUCCAAGUGCAGCACACCCAGAAAUAAAUGAACCAGCACCUCCACCACCACAAACAGAACCAGUAGCCCCUGUUGCCCAAAUGUUUCCAUCUAGUUCAUCUGGAAGUAAGGUAAAGAUGAC
RNAcentral lists this long non-coding RNA (230 nucleotides) under Manihot esculenta (cassava). Its description in RNAcentral is "long non-coding RNA (MESC_LNC008603)". Lineage: Eukaryota; Viridiplantae; Streptophyta; Magnoliopsida; Malpighiales; Euphorbiaceae. The record is from RNAcentral.